Molecule: ribosomal RNA, 351 nt
Filed under: Anaueria brasiliensis
Lineage: Eukaryota; Viridiplantae; Streptophyta; Magnoliopsida; Laurales; Lauraceae
Description: eukaryotic LSU rRNA
Rfam family: 5.8S ribosomal RNA (bases 1-103)
Source: RNAcentral
UGCGAUACUUGGUGUGAAUUGCAGAAUCCCGUGAACCAUCGAGUCUUUGAACGCAAGUUGCGCCCGAGGCCACUCGGCCGAGGGCACGCCUGCCUGGGCGUCACGCCACCCAUCGCCCCCCUCGCGGCAUUCCCAUGCCCUGCCGGGGGGGCGGAGACUGGCCGCCCGUGCCCGAGUCCUCGGCGCGCGGUCGGCGGAAAAGGGAGGGCACCGUGCGGCGCGGCAAAGCGUGUGGGGGUUGAGAGGCGAGCCAUCGCCGAUCGUGCGUCGCGCCGGCAUCCCGCCGCGCGCAGUGCCUUCUUCGGGCCCCGGCUCGCCCGCGGCUGCGGGCUCUCGGACCGCGACCCCAGG